RNAcentral lists this transfer RNA (77 nucleotides) under Microgenomates group bacterium RIFCSPLOWO2_01_FULL_47_10. RNAcentral's name for it is "tRNA-Ile". It matches the Rfam family "tRNA". From Rfam's summary of the family: Transfer RNA (tRNA) molecules are approximately 80 nucleotides in length. Their secondary structure includes four short double-helical elements and three loops (D, anti-codon, and T loops). Further hydrogen bonds mediate the characteristic L-shaped molecular structure. tRNAs have two regions of fundamental functional importance: the anti-codon, which is responsible for specific mRNA codon recognition, and the 3' end, to which the tRNAs corresponding amino acid is attached (by aminoacyl-tRNA synthetases). tRNAs cope with the degeneracy of the genetic code in two manners: having more than one tRNA (with a specific anti-codon) for a particular amino acid; and 'wobble' base-pairing, i.e. permitting non-standard base-pairing at the 3rd anti-codon position. The record is from RNAcentral.
GGGUGACUAGCUCAGGUGGUUAGAGCGCUAUCCUGAUAAGAUAGAGGUCCAUGGUUCGAGUCCAUGGUCACCCACCC